GUGGGGAAUAUUGCACAAUGGGCGCAAGCCUGAUGCAGCCAUGCCGCGUGUAUGAAGAAGGCCUUCGGGUUGUAAAGUACUUUCAGCGGGGAGGAAGGUGUUGUGGUUAAUAACCGCAGCAAUUGACGUUACCCGCAGAAGAAGCACCGGCUAACUCCGUGCCAGCAGCCGCGGUAAUACGGAGGGUGCAAGCGUUAAUCGGAAUUACUGGGCGUAAAGCGCACGCAGGCGGUCUGUUAAGUCAGAUGUGAAAUCCCCGGGCUCAACCUGGGAACUGCAUCUGAUACUGGCAGGCUUGAGUCUCGUAGAGGGGGGUAGAAUUCCAGGUGUAGCGGUGAAAUGCGUAGAGAUCUGGAGGAAUACCGGUGGCGAAGGCGGCCCCCUGGACGAAGACUGACGCUCAGGUGCGAAAGCGUGGGGAGCAAACAGGAUUAGAAACCCGAGUAGUCC
This 450-nucleotide ribosomal RNA is filed under the name uncultured Enterobacteriaceae bacterium. RNAcentral's name for it is "bacterial SSU rRNA". It matches the Rfam family "Bacterial small subunit ribosomal RNA", at positions 354 to 796 of the family's 1533-position model. The record is from RNAcentral. Lineage: Bacteria; Pseudomonadati; Pseudomonadota; Gammaproteobacteria; Enterobacterales; Enterobacteriaceae.